UCCGGUUUGGCACCGGCAGUCUCUCUAGAGUUCCCGCCAUUACGCGCUGGCAACUAGUCCCAAGGGUUGCGCUCGUUGCGGGACUUAACCCAACAUCUCACGACACGAGCUGAUGACAGCCAUGCAGCACCUGUGCACGAGCUCCGAAGAGCCCCGCAGGUUUCCCUACGAGUUCCCGUGCAUGUCAAGCCCAGGUAAGGUUCUUCGCGUUGCGUCGAAUUAAACCACAUGCUCCACCGCUUGUGCGGGCCCCCGUCAAUUCCUUUGAGUUUCAGUCUUGCGACCGUACUCCCCAGGCGGAGUGCUUAAUGUGUUGACUUCGGCACAGCAGGGGUCGAUACCCGCUACACCAAGCACUCAUCGUUUACGGCGUGGACUAC
This 380-nucleotide unclassified non-coding RNA is filed under the name uncultured bacterium. RNAcentral describes it as "contains 16S-23S intergenic spacer region". The record is from RNAcentral.